GGAGAUGGGUUUAAGAUUAAAAUUGGCAACCCUGCCUGAUUUUAUCACAUCUCAUGACGCUCGGCACGCUGCUUAAAACCUCAGCUUUUGGAAACUGGCACAAUGAAUUCAAGCUCUGCUUACAAACCCCCAGACCUCUGCUCUACGUAGAUGCAGGACACGGAUCCCACACACACAGGAUCCAGAAGGAAAGGACUACACGUGACGCUUCAUUCGUCUCCUUAUUUUUGGGAAACGCACUCACGGCUUUUUGAACAUCUGGUAUUAAUAGCUUAUUUCUGCAAUAAGAACAUGAAAAUUUUCUUUCAAAACGGACUAAAACUUGUUUGCUUUGAAAUUUUGGAGAUAUCCACUCAUAAAAGGGAAAAAGAAAAAAAGCAAAAAAAGAGAAAGGGAAACGGAACAGCAAAGGACGUUGAGAUGUCUUUUAAGCAGCACUGAAUUACUCGGUCCAUACAACGAGUGACUACUUUUUAUUCUGCAGUAUUUUUUGCUGGCCAAAAGACCGUAAGCCAAAGUGCUCCCAGCUGCCAAUGGACCACGGCAGGUCGGGCAGGGCAUGGGACAGGCCAGCACAAACCCACCUCCAAGUCCUACUCAAUGAUCUGCUUUAGAACAGCCUGCAGUCUGACCCCAGGUAAUCCCACAGAAUCUGCAGCAGCAACUGGACCUGAAGGCAAUUUAGGAACAGUGACCGCAAUUUAGGCUCUAACAGAGCAGUACCUGUGAUCUCCUCCUGGCACCUCCACCACCAUUUGCUUUCCAGCUCUGGUAUUAUCUUUCCCUUUUCAUCUUUCACUUCUCCCCCUCCCUCCUUCCUCAUACAGUAGCUCUUUCAGCUGCUCUCAGUAGGUGCUGCUUUACCUAAUUAAUUGACGACUCAACAAGUGCACUUUCUAAUUAAAGUAAAUAAGCCCAUGCUUGGAACAGUGGCUCACAGUGUUACCCAGCACUCGUUCCUCAGGAGCAGGAUAUUAUGGGCUCCACCUCCUCUGUGCCAAAUUAAUGCAUUAAACUAAUAGAGCAGAAGCAAAUAAAAGCUUCCUAGAGCAUCACUUAGGAGUGUUAUUCUGAAACAAAGCCAUUCCCAGUCUUGAAUUGCUGAAGCCAACGGGAUCUUCUAUGUUAGCUGGACUUUACAGAGAGGGGGGAAAAGAACAGCUCUUUCAAACCCAAAUCUCAAACCCAAAGUCCCAUUUGGCGCUUCCAGUGCUGCUGUUGUGGAUGAUUUGGUUUGGGAAGAACUGAGGGAUCAGAACCUCAGGAGGUUCUGUUACCUCUUAUGGUACCUGAAUGACUCGGUCUGUCCCAUAAUAACAUCCCAUAUUAAAGGCUGCUCUCCUCUUCCGUGCCACACAUUUAAGACAGGAAUUUUCCAGACAGCCACACUAAAUCUUCACCUGUGCUCACCAUUUCAUCCAUGCUCACCAUUCCUGCAUACCUGAAGUUAUGAGGGUCUCACCCUGCUGUUAAGCUGGUGAUGAUAUCUCCUUAAUGCGUGCAAUCUAGCAUGCAUUUAAACCCAGUUACACCUCUUUCCCCCGCUGGGUGAGGCUGGGAGGGGAGAGCCCUGUCCCAGCACGGGAGCCCGUCACGUUUUGGCUGCUGAGGGAACAUCAGAAGCGUUCCCUCCCUGGGAGAACCCUGCAUUCGUGAUGUCCUAUUUCUCAGAAACAUCAGGACGAGCCUCGAGACACAAAACAGAACAGCGAGGCCAAAUGUGUCACACAGUGUUUUCACAAGGAGGAAAAAUAACCCCCCUCUCCCCCCAGUGCAACCAGUUAAAUGGAGCAGCGGGGUGCUGGGGGGGUGGUUGGCAUCCAGCUCUGAGCACGCAGAGGGACCAGCAGUGCCAUCCGCACGCCCUGUGAGAACCCCAGCAAAAGGUACAUUCCCAAAACAAAUCGAACCAACCAUCAUCUUCCUCUAUUGUUCAAGACUUGGUGUGGGUUUUUUUUUUUUUUUUCCAGCAUUAAAGGCAAAAAAAAAAAAAAAAAGAAAAAAAAAGCCAAAAUUCAGAGGAUCUCAGAAUGCUAUGAGAACGGUCAAAAGUGCUUCCAAACCAGCAGUUGAGUUGGUGUCUGAACUUGUUUCCACAGAUGGGCUGGGAGCAGGGCCGUGUUGGUUUAGGCCUUACGUACUUAGAGUUCAUUAAGUCAAAAGAAAGCUUUGUGCCUCAGAGUAGUUUUUGGAUGAGCUUACAGGUUUCAAUAGCCUGGACAGUGCAACGGGGAAGGGCGAACGUGAAAGGGGGAACAGAAGUGCAUUGAGAAGUGAGUGGGAAAGCGGGGUGACAGAGCUGCAUUUUGCACCAAGUCACUCUCAGCUUGUUGCAAGCUCCUGGCUUCGAGCAAUUAGCUCAGAAAUAAGGAUUUGUUUGUGUUUUCACAGUCCCUCACUGUUGUGGAAACCAGACAGAAAGCCAACAAAAAUGGGGCUCUUCCCGCUGCAUUUCCUUCAGCAAUAAACACCUCCUUCAUUUCUAUAUAUAU
RNAcentral lists this long non-coding RNA (2492 nucleotides) under Gallus gallus (chicken). RNAcentral describes it as "lncRNA (ENSGALG00010029020.1)". The record is from RNAcentral. Lineage: Eukaryota; Metazoa; Chordata; Aves; Galliformes; Phasianidae.